This 362-nucleotide ribosomal RNA is filed under the name Bacillus amyloliquefaciens. Its description in RNAcentral is "bacterial SSU rRNA". It matches the Rfam family "Bacterial small subunit ribosomal RNA", at positions 62 to 414 of the family's 1533-position model. Lineage: Bacteria; Bacillati; Bacillota; Bacilli; Caryophanales; Bacillaceae. The record is from RNAcentral.
UCGAGCGGAACGAUGGGAGCUUGCUCCCUGAUGUUAGCGGCGGACGGGUGAGUAACACGUGGGUAACCUGCCUGUAAGACUGGGAUAACUCCGGGAAACCGGGGCUAAUACCGGAUGGUUGUCUGAACCGCAUGGUUCAGACAUAAAACGUGGCUUCGGCUACCACUUACAGAUGGACCCGCGGCGCAUUAGCUAGUUGGUGAGGUAACGGCUCACCAAGGCGACGAUGCGUAGCCGACCUGAGAGGGUGAUCGGCCACACUGGGACUGAGACACGGCCCAGACUCCUACGGGAGGCAGCAGUAGGGAAUCUUCCGCAAUGGACGAAAGUCUGACGGAGCAACGCCGCGUGAGUGAUGAAGG